Molecule: long non-coding RNA, 1122 nt
Filed under: Calidris pygmaea (Spoon-billed sandpiper)
Lineage: Eukaryota; Metazoa; Chordata; Aves; Charadriiformes; Scolopacidae
Description: lncRNA (ENSCPGG00000012273.1)
Source: RNAcentral
AGAUGGGAGCCCUACAAAAGCCAUGGCAAAUCCCUUUAGCAUUACUGCAGCUCCCCUUCUUCUAUAAUGAGUGCACAGAGAAUGGUUCACAUCCAAAAUGGUUGGCAAAUGAUGUUUUGGCGUAUCUGAAAGGAGACGAUCAUUACCCUGCGCUCGUUUGGUAUCCGGAGUAAGGAGAAACAGAAGGAGGUGGCAGCAGGAGGUGGCAGGUUGGCCAUGCCCUUGGUGGGGUGUCAGGGAAAAUGCUGUGCACCCCAAAGGGAUGCGGUGGGCUGGCUGUGCCAGAGGAGGCCAGCAGAGGCUGGAAGGGGAUGGUGUCACCCCUGGGCUGAGCUGGUGACCCAGGCACCCAGCGAAGGGCAGAGAGAGGGGUGGGGUAGGGCUCAUGUCAUCUCCUGGGUGCAGAGGGCCCCCCGUGGUAGCCCUGAUGUGAUGCGGUCCCCAGCGCAGGGACACUGCACGGUGUGCGGGUGUCUCCUUGACACCUUGCUGGUUUGCAGAUGAUGGGACGUGAGCUGCCUCAGCAUCCGCGGUGACCGCAGGUCUGUGCUUUCCUCAGGCCCGGAUCCAAGCGGCCGUUCCUGCGAAGCCGGAGGCCCCCGCCGCCGCCAGCCAAGCCCCAGCCCAAGGGGGUGCUGCUGAGGUUCAACUUCCGCGCCAUGGCCAACCAGGCCAGCCAAAGCCAUCUCCAGACUAACCUCUGGUGGGGUCCGGGAGGUUUAGAAGUGCAGGAGGAACUGUACAGGGUCAGGAGAGACCCUGGAGCAUCCCCGGGAGGGGGACACCAAGACCAAACCGAACACACAGUGAUUUCUUCCUUUAGUCCUGGUAUCAUUGUGUUUAACAGCAUUUGGUGGGGUUUUCUUCCACUGUUGCCUUUUGCUGUUUGCUUUCUGUCUAUUUGUCUGCCUCCAAAGGCCAGUAUUACAAGUGAAUAUGUGUUCCUGUAUGCCCUUUGCAAUUUAUAGACCCAUGCCAUGUUCUCCCUUCCUCAUCACCUUUCUAGAAGAGCCUCAGUGUAUCUACUUGUCCACUGCCACCUUCUGGAUAUAUAUUUUAACUUUUUUUGAGUGUAUAUGAAUUUGUAAUAAAGAUAUCUUAAAAUAAACUAUGUUUAUAUUA